GUUAAGCGAGCAGUGUGUUAAGAAGCAAUAUGGCUUGGCAGGGUCUCGUUUUGGAGGACGCAUGGCUCUCGACCAUCGCCUCUCCCGAGUCCGUACGGGAGUUGCGGUGAUGGGACAAGAUUGUAACUACCAAUUGGAUAUCACGAAAUUUGGGAGAACAAGCGGUAAAAAAAAUCCUAACCUAAAGUAGGGAAAUAGAACCUGCGAGAAGAGCUCGGUGGCUUCAGGCUAUUCAGCGUGGGAGAGUGAAAAAUGUGGUGACCCGGUGCUACAGCGUAGUUAUGUGUAGAAAACAUUUAAUCACAGGUCCUCACUUUGCAGCAGUCAACCAUAACAAUGAGAUAAUUGUUACAGACUUCCAUAAUCAUUCUGUGAAGACACUUCCAGAACAAAGGAAACCUACUUACAACUACUAAGGAAAUGGUGACCUCUGGUGGACAACCAGAGGCUUACACAACGAGACUUUCUGUCGAACUAUUCACCACAGACUGAUCGGCGAGUUCAACAGAGAGAGACAACAAAGACAUACAAGCGUAAAUAUAUACAUUGCAUUUCUAAAUCCGAAUGAGCGGUUGUUAGGGUGCCAAAUAUCCAUAUUUACGAUGAGCGUAUUAUUCAACUGUAUGUACGAUAGUUGAAUUAUUUUGUCUCUCCUUCUCCCCUCACCACUUUCAUUGGGUAACCAGCAAUCAUAUCGGGGUUAGUCCACUAGGGACUUUUCAUUGCAUUAUGUAAUAAUCAGUGUAUAAUCUAUCCUGUGUAUGUAAUUCUGUGUGAUUAUUUAGUUAGUUAGUAAAUAAAUAAUUCAGCCAAUUUGUGUAUCACUGAGUCAUCAUGUAGACUAGGGUUCGUGCAAAUAUAACGGAUUAUGCAACGUUCAGAAUGAGACUGAUAUGAGGUAAUAAUAAUUAAUGAAUGACUAAGAGAUGAUAUAUUCUGAUAUUCUUGAGUUUAUUCGGGAAACAAAAACUCAU
This is a long non-coding RNA of Oncorhynchus nerka (sockeye salmon), 974 nucleotides long. RefSeq lists it as uncharacterized. The record is from RefSeq and is a predicted model, not a curated record. NCBI's taxonomy places the organism in Eukaryota, Metazoa, Chordata, Actinopteri, Salmoniformes, Salmonidae. The transcript is spliced from 3 exons.